RNAcentral lists this long non-coding RNA (1465 nucleotides) under Scleropages formosus (Asian bonytongue). RNAcentral's name for it is "lncRNA (ENSSFOG00015030022.1)". Lineage: Eukaryota; Metazoa; Chordata; Actinopteri; Osteoglossiformes; Osteoglossidae. The record is from RNAcentral.
UAGCGCUCUGUCAGUUUACUCCUGAGGAAUUAAUCGUAAUUUACCAUGUUUAAAAAAACUAAAUGACUGCAGUCUUAAUAUAGCGCUGUCGUCGUAGCAGUUCUGACGAACACAUCUACAGUCAGUCAGUGGCACUUUACGGGGUUUUACUCUAAGCGGUGGCAUGAUGACACAAAAAAAGAACUAAACAGCACCACGUAAGCGAGAAAGAGGACGAAGAGACUGGAUGUGUAAGAAAGAGACAGUACGUGUGUCGUGUGACCAUUUUGGAAAGUUCUCGUUCUUUUCCGCUCUCUAGACUACUAGAGACAAACUGGACUGUCAGGGAAGGAAUUUUCCCUUCUGUGUUUUCUUGUAGCGUGAACAUCUUACCAUUGUUGUUUUAUUUCAUUUAUGGAAUACAUUUAAAAAAAAAAACUGUUUAACAGAAGACUAUAGUAAUUCAUCUUGAUAUGCCGAUUAGUGAGAGCGAUUAUCGUCAAUGUGCGAGAUGAGGCAGCAGGGGGCGCUGCAGCAGUUCGUUUUCGCGGUGCCCCUGGAGCGGCCCUGGGGAGCGGGGGCACAGGAGGGGGAGGUGACUCCUUUAUUUUAAUCAAAUAGAAGUUCAGGAAGAAAAAGUUAUACGUCUUUUAAAGCAAACUGAGCGCAAGGGUUAUUUUUUGGUUCCGCUGAGUCACCGGUGCUUGUGCGUUCUACAUGGUGGAUAGUUGACAAGCCAGCAAAAUAAAGGAUAACUUUUUUUAUGGAAAUGGUUCUGCCAGAUGACUCCCCUCCCCCCACCGCCAAGUGCAUUUUCCACACAGAUCCCAGCGUCCCCCCUGCUAACCGACUCAGCGAUGCCUGCACCCGCCUCACUUGCCAUCGCCAAAAUAUUCUGGCCCAAAACAGAGACACAGAGGAAACCAGCCAAGAAGGACUUCAAACUGGAGAAAGGGGCUGCACCGCCACGUCGUUUUUAAAGUCGCAAUGGUCCCCGAGAGCUGAGGCGACAUUUCAGGUCUGCGAUCAGAGCUCGUCUCUCUGGGAGACUGUCUGCUUCGGGGAAGCGUGCACAGCAGAAUCAGUGUUCAGCAUCACCUCAGUGACGAUCAGCACACAGCUAAUGAGCUGCUCCUCAGAUGUCUGCGCCACGUACGGACAGCUGACAUUUCACCUUCCAGCAUUUCAGUAUAUUUCUGAUUCAGUCUUAACAAAAUGCUGCAAAGGAGUAAUAAUUGAACAUGCUGAUUUUGUACUCAAUACUUCCUAAGACUCGGAUAUCGGAUGUGUAGUGGUUAAGUGUCACUCAUAUUACACUAGGUCAUCAAUCAUUGUUAUUUGUACCUGUGUGAAAGUACAGAUGAUGUUUUUGCGGUAAGAAUGUUUAAGAUGAUGUGUAAGAUGUAUUAAGAAAUUUAAGCAGUUAUAUUUGGAUUCACCAGUUUUUAUAAUUUCAGCACUAUAAACUGAGUUACUCAAUUUGAAC